AUAUGCUUGUCUCAAAGAUUAAGCCAUGCAUGUCUAAGCAUAAGCAAUUAUACCGCGAAACUGCGAAUGGCUCAUUAAAUCAGUUAUCGUUUAUUUGAUAGUACCUUCCUACAUGGAUACCUGUGGUAAUUCUAGAGCUAAUACAUGCGAAAAAGCCCCAACUUCGGGAGGGGUGUGUUUAUUAGAUUAAAAACCAAUGCCCCUCGGGGCUCCUUGGUGAUUCAUAAUAACUUCUCGAAUCGCACGGCCUUGUGCUGGCGAUGGUUCAUUCAAAUUUCUGCCCUAUCAACUUUCGACGGCUAGGUCUUGGCCAGCCGUGGUGACAACGGGUAACGGAGGGUUAGGGCUCGACCCCGGAGAAGGAGCCUGAGAAACGGCUACUACAUCCAAGGAAGGCAGCAGGCGCGCAAAUUACCCAAUCCCGACACGGGGAGGUAGUGACAAUAAAUACUGAUACAGGGCUCUUUUGGGUCUUGUAAUCGGAAUGAGUACAAUUUAAAUCUCUUAACGAGGAACAAUUGGAGGGCAAGUCUGGUGCCAGCAGCCGCGGUAAUUCCAGCUCCAAUAGCGUAUAUUAAAGUUGUUGCAGUUAAAAAGCUCGUAGUUGAACCUUGGGCCUGGCUGGCCGGUCCGCCUCACCGCGUGCACUGGUCCGGCCGGGCCUUUCCCUCUGGGGAGCCGCAUGCCCUUUACUGGGCGUGUCGGGGAACCAGGACGUUUACUGUGAACAAAUCAGAUCGCUUAAAGAAGGCCUAUGCUCGGAUACAUUAGCAUGGAAUAAUAGAAUAGGACGUGUGGUUCUAUUUUGUUGGUUUCUAGGACCGCCGUAAUGAUUAAUAGGGACAGUCGGGGGCAUCAGUAUUCAAUUGUCAGAGGUGAAAUUCUUGGAUUUAUUGAAGACUAACUACUGCGAAAGCAUUUGCCAAGGAUGUUUUCAUUAAUCAGGAACGAAAGUUAGGGGAUCGAAGACGAUCAGAUACCGUCGUAGUCUUAACCAUAAACUAUGCCGACUAGGGAUCGGACGGCGUUAUUUUUUGACCCGUUCGGCACCUUACGCGAAAGCAAAGUGUUUGGGCUC
This 1078-nucleotide ribosomal RNA is filed under the name Albertiniella polyporicola. Its description in RNAcentral is "SSU rRNA". It matches the Rfam family "Eukaryotic small subunit ribosomal RNA", at positions 26 to 1114 of the family's 1831-position model. The record is from RNAcentral. Lineage: Eukaryota; Fungi; Ascomycota; Sordariomycetes; Cephalothecales; Cephalothecaceae.